CCUACGGGAGGCAGCAGUGAGGAAUAUUGGUCAAUGGACGAGAGUCUGAACCAGCCAAGCAGCGUGAAGGAUGACUGUCCUAUGGGUUGUAAACUUCUUUUAUAUGGGAAUAAAAUGUUCCACGUGUGGGAUUUUGUAUGUACCAUACGAAAAAGGAUCGGCUAACUCCGUACCAGCCGCCGCGGUAAUACGGAGGAUCCGAGCGUUAUCCGGAUUUAUUGGGUUUAAAGGGAGCGUAGGUGGAUUGUUAAGUCAGUUGUGAAAGUUUGCGGCUCAACCGUAAAAUUGCAGUUGAAACUGGAAGUCUUGAGUACAGUAGAGGUGAGCGGAAUUCGUGGUGUAGCGGUGAAAUGCUUAGAUAUCACGAAGAACUCCGAUUGCGAAGGCAGCUCACUGGACUGCAACUGACGCUGAGGCUCGAAAGUGUGGGUAUCAAACAGGAUUAGAUACCCCGGUAGUC
Molecule: ribosomal RNA, 460 nt
Filed under: uncultured bacterium
Lineage: Bacteria
Description: partial 16S ribosomal RNA
Rfam family: Bacterial small subunit ribosomal RNA
Source: RNAcentral